Molecule: long non-coding RNA, 2301 nt
Filed under: Rattus norvegicus (Norway rat)
Lineage: Eukaryota; Metazoa; Chordata; Mammalia; Rodentia; Muridae
Description: long non-coding RNA NONRATT019300
Source: RNAcentral
UUUGCUUGAAGCUGAUGCUUUGGUCAAAGGCAGCUUGGAUGUUCUUAGUCUGGUUAUGACACUACGUGGUAUGGGGCAGGAGUGUGGAAUUUUAUCUUUAAAGAAACUGUUGUUUCCUCUAAGAUGUGAUAUUGAGGAGCACUGAAGACCUUUAAACAUUUUUGUCUGCACUUUCCCCCCCGCCCUGAAUUUCCCACACCCUGUUAUUUUAAAAGGCGAACAUCAUCUUUUAGUGCGAGCCUUUAGCUUGCCAGCGUGUUUCCUGUUGGCUCCUUAAAUUACAGUUGUGUCAGUAGCACUGUCAGCUUUGCUCUCAGUGCAGUGCUCAGUAGUAAUUAUCAUAUACUUGUCUACAGAAGCAAGAACAAUUGGGAAGGUACAAAAAAUGUUUUCUGUUAUUAACAGUGAAAACCAUGUAAAUGCAAAUAUUGUGAAGCAGUCAGCUAGUCCUCUGACAGCUGACGGCCAAGGAACGCCCACGAGAUGUUAGCCUUCCUAGGAAGGGCACUCUCUCACACUAGUGCCCCUGAUAUUGAGAAUUGCGUUCUAGUGACUUUGGCGAGUGUCUAAUGAAGGUGCUGUCCUUUGGAUUUCCUGCUUGCCACAGAUGCAGACCCUGCACUUCCUUCUUAGAAAUUCUCAGUGAAUUUGAGCCAGACACGCUCCCCAGAUCUGGUGUGAUUGAAACCAUCAUGGGUGUUAAGUGUGAGGUGGGCGUUACUUUCUUACAGAAGUGAUUGACAUUCAUGAAGGAAUUGUGCAUCCCUCAGAGGUAGUCCUGAGCUUUGCUGAGACAGCAGGCAGCAGUUUGGUGGACAUACAGGCUGACAGGACAGCAGUCAGGCUGCUUUUCUGAAGCUCAUGUUUGAAAUGAGUCCGUACAAGAUCCCACAUCCUGUGAGAAUUGGUGGUAAACCCAUAGGGAUUUUCUCUUAAAACUUUGCACACUACUUUCUUGUACCAACUUUUUACACAAUACAAACUAGAAAACAGAUGCACAUGCCAUAAUAUUUACACUAGGAAAUAUUCUAAACUUAAUUUUUUUAAAUUUUUAAAUUUUUUGCGUGAAUGCACUUCUAUAUAUAUUUUUAAGCCCUUAACCUCUAUUAAAAAUCCAUUGGGAGACAAUUUGGAAAUGUUUGUCAUUUAUCUACUUACAGAUAUUUGAUUAUAAGUGUGUUAUUUUUUCAAAGAAACUUCAUUCUAGAACCUACCACUGCAUAAAGUAGCCAGCACGGAAGGGAGAGCAAGCAGUCCACGCAAGGCUGUAUUUUGAGAGUGUCUGGUCUUCAGAUCCAGGACACUGGAAGAUUUCCCAGUCUUCAUCACUCAGGUUGUUUUCCCUACAGCCUUUUCCUUUCAGCUGAACCCACUGAAGGACCUAGAAGAAGACUGUGACCCGGACCCUGCUGUUGGAGAGCAACCAUCUGCUCUUGAAAAAUUAAGUGAAUAAACGUAAAAGUCUAGAGCUGCUCUUGAUAACGUUUGCAUAGAUAAACUUGUCCUUCCUUCCCUUCCGAACUGUGUUUAAUAGGCUCGUAUUAGUGUUUGUGCAUUUCAUGUUCAGUUGCCUGAACUGUAAAGGCCUUGGUCAGCGUAAAUACUGUGUGCUCGGUGAGUGGGGAGCAGCCAGUAAAGCUCAGAUUUUGGAAUAGUAAAACACGCCACGUGCCCUGUAUAUAAAGAGUAUAUAUUGGUGUCUGUGAAGUGUAAUAUAUGCAGAAGUUUCUCCCUCCUACAUUUUAUUUUUUCCAUUCAUAAAUUUGUGUUGCAGAGUUAUUGAUAGCCUAAAAAUGAUAGUAAAUCUGUAUUGAUCUGAUUUCAGUAUUAAUACGAAAUGUAAAGAUAUAUUUUUUCCAUGAUCCUAUUGAACUGUACUUAUUUUAAGAUGUUUGUAGCUAUUUAUUUUCUGCCAAAGGAACAGUCUAUCUUCAGAUUUCUACAUUGGGCUCAUAUUUAGUGUUUUCUAACAAUUUUUAAAUUUCAUUUUUCAUAUAAAUUUUGUUAUAUUAGAAAAUUCCUCAAAAUAUAUAGAAGAAUUUUAUAGUAUAAAACAUUUUCUUGGGUGUUGAGUGGAGUAUAUUUGAAAAGUCAACAGUCAGCCAAUGUUGUCUUUUUAUUUGAUAAUUUGCUUAUAAAAUUACACAUUAUCUCUUUGCUUUGCAUUUAAAUAUGUGAUUCUAUUAUGCUAUUUCAAGUACUUGAUAUUUGACUAAUGAUUGUACUGUACAUUGAAGACAAUAAUAAAGUUUCAUCCACAUUUUGAAAAUGACUGUAAAUGUGGCUGGUUUAGGGAUAUAA